UACGAAGGGGGCUAGCGUUGUUCGGAAUUACUGGGCGUAAAGCGCACGUAGGCGGAUAUUUAAGUCAGGGGUGAAAUCCCAGAGCUCAACUCUGGAACUGCCUUUGAUACUGGGUAUCUUGAGUAUGGAAGAGGUAAGUGGAAUUGCGAGUGUAGAGGUGAAAUUCGUAGAUAUUCGCAGGAACACCAGUGGCGAAGGCGGCUUACUGGUCCAUAACUGACGCU
This 224-nucleotide ribosomal RNA is filed under the name uncultured bacterium. Its description in RNAcentral is "partial 16S ribosomal RNA". It matches the Rfam family "Bacterial small subunit ribosomal RNA", at positions 524 to 747 of the family's 1533-position model. The record is from RNAcentral.